Molecule: long non-coding RNA, 309 nt
Filed under: Calidris pugnax (ruff)
Lineage: Eukaryota; Metazoa; Chordata; Aves; Charadriiformes; Scolopacidae
Description: lncRNA (ENSCPUG00000008489.1)
Source: RNAcentral
AUGAAAUAUCAAUCUUGCCAGACAACAUUUUAUUCUUCAGGUAUGAAUCACAUCAGUAAACAAGUCUUUCCUGGAUUUGUGAUGAAAUGCCUGGGAAAAAAAAGAUUAUUAAUUUGCUGUGCUGUGCUCUCCGGCAUAAGCCCAACACAUUUCUCUGCCUCUGGUCUGCCAUGUAGUCCCAAUGCAGAGAAGAAGCUGUGCUGUACCACCCAGCAGGACCCUGAUCUUCCAGUGAGAUCCUGUCCAAUCCUGCUCUUUGAAGACACUACAUUUUCAUCCUCAACACCAAGAAGAACUGGGUUGGACUAG